Dermochelys coriacea (leatherback sea turtle) is the source of this 189-nucleotide long non-coding RNA. RefSeq lists it as uncharacterized. Lineage: Eukaryota; Metazoa; Chordata; Testudines; Dermochelyidae. The transcript is spliced from 3 exons. The record is from RefSeq and is a predicted model, not a curated record.
CUCCCACCCCAAAUAAUGAGGAGUCAAUCAGUAAAGAUCAAAGUGACAGUGGGUGCUUGGGACCUCAAUCCUCUGGCUAAUGGCAAGCCUUUGGAGAGGAGCUCCAAGGAGUCCCUUGAUGUUCAUUCGGGACCAUGGAAUAAGACGCUCAGGAGAACAGCAACAGAUGAUGACAAGAGGUCACAGUCU